This 253-nucleotide ribosomal RNA is filed under the name uncultured bacterium. RNAcentral's name for it is "partial 16S ribosomal RNA". It matches the Rfam family "Bacterial small subunit ribosomal RNA", at positions 524 to 776 of the family's 1533-position model. The record is from RNAcentral.
UACGUAGGGGGCAAGCGUUGUCCGGAUUUAUUGGGCGUAAAGAGCGUGUAGGCGGCCAUACAGGUCCGUUGUGAAAACUGGAGGCUUAACCUCCAGACGUCGAUGGAAACCGUAUGGCUAGAGUCCGGAGGAGGAGAGUGGAAUUCCUGGUGUAGCGGUGAAAUGCGCAGAUAUCAGGAAGAACACCCGUGGCGAAGGCGGCUCUCUGGGACGGUACUGACGCUGAGACGCGAAAGCGUGGGGAGCGAACAGG